AUAACAACCGCGACAGACAGGACGAGCCCCUGGUCCAGCAUGAUCUCGGAAACAGGGCAGGUGGCUGGGCAGCAUCCUCUGGAGUCCAGGCCUGAAGAUCAGCACUCUAUAGAUACAGGUUGUUUCCAAAGAGGGAACAGCAGCACCUUGUCCAGCAUGCUGCAAGGGGACAGCCAGAGCGUGCUCAGCACCCUGAGCCCACCCAUGAGCCCUUACACAGGUGGGAACAGUCCCUGGGGAGCAGCAGGAGACUUCCAGACCUUCAACACCAGCACAGAAACAGCAGAGAAGGAGCCACUUUGGCCAGUUGAAGGGAGCCUCUGGAACAGAGUACUGAACACUGAACCCAUAAAGAAAAGUGUGGAGUUCCAUGCAGGCUCCAAGGAACUGCUGCCAUCUCCGGGAGACAUGGGUUUGACCAAUCAAAAAACUACUGAGAGAGAGGAGGAGGAGGAGGAAAAUGCUGAGGUUGUAAAUGGAGAUCAUCAAGGCAAGGAAGGAAGUGGUUCUGAUGAGAACUGUGUUCAGAGUGUAUCAGCCCAAGCUGGCUCAGAAAGAAAUAGUGAGAGCUUCCCUGAUGACGGCAGUGAAGACCCAGUGGAAAGCUCAGAAAACCUCAUCAAACAAAAAAUCACUUUGUCUGAUCCUGUUGUUAUUCCCAACUUCUUCCUUCCACCUGAGGAGAUGGAAGCCUCCAUGAGACUGCUCUGCACUUCUUUUCACCCUUCCAUAUCUCCAAAAGAGUGGAGCAGUGCCUGGAGGAAUCCCAUACCGAAGAGCAAAUCGUCCCAGGCCCAGCCCUGAGCUCUUGGAAGAGGAAGCCAAAAGAAUUGCCAGGAUCUUCUCUGCUCAGCUCUCCAAGAAGGAAUAGUGUUGGCCAGAGACCUUCCACAGCUGAGUUUCCUAAGCCAGGGCCAGCUGCAUUGGCAAAAAAAGAGCCUCCCAGUAAAGCGGAGGUGGAAGCCACAGCUUUCAGGCUCUGGUUUUAGUUUGCCUAAUUGGUUAGUUAAUUGAAGUCCCCUAUUUAGAAGGGCUUAAAGCCUGUGGUCACCCACAGCGAGUUACGUCGUGUAGGGGCAGGUCCCCAAUGAGAUGCACCUGUGUGGCAACCAUUGACCUGUUAUCUGCUCUCCAAGUAGCCCAGUUUUAGGAUUUAUUCCUGUGAAAUGGCCCUUUCAAAAAUGGUGAGCAACACAAUUCUCUGAUUCCACAGGUGCCCAAAGUGCUUGUGUGAGCACAGGCCAAGGGCACCGUAAAAUCUGGUGGGUGUACAAAAGAGGGUGACUAGAAAGAUGGGACUUUUAUAUUUAUAUUUAAGUUAUUUUUGUACACCUUUCAGAGAACAGACUUUGAUGCCAGCAGAGCUCAGUUAUUUUUGUACUGCUCUCUCCAGUGUUUGUUUCAAUAAAAUUCCCCUGGUUUCUUGUCA
This 1429-nucleotide long non-coding RNA is filed under the name Lonchura striata (white-rumped munia). Its description in RNAcentral is "domestica (Bengalese finch) lncRNA (ENSLSDG00000001297.1)". The record is from RNAcentral. Lineage: Eukaryota; Metazoa; Chordata; Aves; Passeriformes; Estrildidae.